UCUUAAUGGGCACUUUUGAAGUAUUUGUUUGUUCAAAAUAUAUUUAAAACCAAAACUUCUGCUAGAUUUACACAGCUAAACUUGGAGUAGUGCAACUGAAGUCACUGAACAAGCUCACUCUUUGCUAUGCUUGGCAGGAACCAGAAACUAUGACAUGCUAGAUGGUGCCAUAAUAGCAAAUUUAUAUGCAAACGUGGUGAUAUCUUCUUUCCCAGCAUGCACCUUUACAACCACAUUAAAAAUAUUCAUAGUUUUGAGAUGUGCAGC
Molecule: long non-coding RNA, 267 nt
Filed under: Elaeis guineensis (African oil palm)
Lineage: Eukaryota; Viridiplantae; Streptophyta; Magnoliopsida; Arecales; Arecaceae
Description: long non-coding RNA (EGUI_LNC012199)
Source: RNAcentral